Aquila chrysaetos chrysaetos is the source of this 446-nucleotide long non-coding RNA. RefSeq lists it as uncharacterized. The record is from RefSeq and is a predicted model, not a curated record. NCBI's taxonomy places the organism in Eukaryota, Metazoa, Chordata, Aves, Accipitriformes, Accipitridae. The transcript is spliced from 3 exons.
CACACGCAUGGAUAGAAGUGGAGGACCCUGAAACAACCUACCAUGAAACCAGAUUCAGUAAAACAACCACCACUGCCCCAAACACACCAAUGUUAAUACCAGCAGGACCAAUCUUUCCUGCUGGGAGCAAUCCCUCAAGACCCAGGAGCUUUUCUGGGAUGUGUUUACAGCACAUGACGGUCUGAUGCUCCUGUCAUGUGUGCUAGAAAAAUCAUGGAAUAAUGCCUGUGUGACCAUACCAGAAUGAGUGAACCAAGGUUAGCUUUGAUGGCCUUGUGGCUUAGGAUUGCUGUUUUGUGUGAAUUUCUGCUUUGGGAGUGCCAAAAUGGCUUCUUUGAUACUGAGGCAGAAGAGCUCAUGAGCUUUGUGAGGUUCACAGGAGUUGAGCAGACUUGAGCUAUUCUUCGCACUGUCCCUGUGGUGUACUCUGAGCCUGGAGAGCUGAU